GCUUGGCUGGCUCGGUUGGUGGAGCAUGCGACUUUCGAUCUCAGGGUUGUGAGUUUGUGCCUCACGUUGGGCG
This 73-nucleotide transfer RNA is filed under the name Ailuropoda melanoleuca (giant panda). It matches the Rfam family "tRNA". Rfam says of the family: Transfer RNA (tRNA) molecules are approximately 80 nucleotides in length. The record is from Rfam by way of RNAcentral. Lineage: Eukaryota; Metazoa; Chordata; Mammalia; Carnivora; Ursidae.